UAGGGAAUAUUGGUCAAUGGAUGGAAGUCUGAACCAGCCAUGCCGCGUGCAGGAAGACGGCCUUCUGGGUUGUAAACUGCUUUUGCCAGGGGCUAAAAAGCUCAUGCGUGAGAAAUUGAAAGUACCUGGUGAAUAAGCCACGGCUAACUACGUGCCAGCAGCCGCGGUAAUACGUAGGUGGCAAGCGUUGUCCGGAUUUAUUGGGUUUAAAGGGUGCGUAGGCGGCUUUGUAAGUCAGUGGUGAAAUAUGGCAGCUCAACUGUCAGGGUGCCAUUGAUACUGCGGAGCUUGAGUACAGAUGAGGUAGGCGGAAUUGACGGUGUAGCGGUGAAAUGCUUAGAUAUCGUCAAGAACACCGAUAGCGAAGGCAGCUUACUAGGCUGUAACUGACGCUGAGGCACGAAAGUGUGGGGAUCAAACAGGAUUAGAUACCCUGGUAGUCCACACUGUAAACGUUGAUGACUCGCUGUUGGCGAUACACGGCCAGCGGCAGAGAGAAAUCGUUAAGUCAUCCACCUGGGGAGUACGCCGGCAACGGUGA
This 541-nucleotide ribosomal RNA is filed under the name uncultured Bacteroidota bacterium. Its description in RNAcentral is "bacterial SSU rRNA". It matches the Rfam family "Bacterial small subunit ribosomal RNA", at positions 355 to 897 of the family's 1533-position model. Lineage: Bacteria; Pseudomonadati; Bacteroidota. The record is from RNAcentral.